RNAcentral lists this ribosomal RNA (1000 nucleotides) under Micrococcus luteus. RNAcentral describes it as "partial 16S ribosomal RNA". Lineage: Bacteria; Bacillati; Actinomycetota; Actinomycetes; Micrococcales; Micrococcaceae. The record is from RNAcentral.
CMCUKGGCYAAKUYCGAAYYKWUKAAMGCCCAGYUUGCUGGGUGGAUUAGUGGCGAACGGGUGAKUWWCACGUGAGUAACCUGCCCUUAACUCUGGGAUAAGCCUGGGAAACUGGGUCUAAUACCGGAUAGGAGCGCCUACCGCAUGGUGGGUGUUGGAAAGAUUUAUCGGUUUUGGAUGGACUCGCGGCCUAUCAGCUUGUUGGUGAGGUAAUGGCUCACCAAGGCGACGACGGGUAGCCGGCCUGAGAGGGUGACCGGCCACACUGGGACUGAGACACGGCCCAGACUCCUACGGGAGGCAGCAGUGGGGAAUAUUGCACAAUGGKCGAAAGCCUGAUGCAGCGACGCCGCGUGAGGGAUGACGGCCUUCGGGUUGUAAACCUCUUUCAGUAKGGAAGAAGCGAAAGUGACGGUACCUGCAGAAGAAGCACCGGCUAACUACGUGCCAGCAGCCGCGGUAAUACGUAGGGUGCGAGCGUUAUCCGGAAUUAUUGKGCGUAAAGAGCUCGUAGGCGGUUUGUCGCGUCUGUCGUGAAWGUCCGGGGCUUAWCCCCGGAUCUGCGGUGGGUACGGGCAGACUAGAGUGCAKUAGGGGAGACUGGAAUUCCUGGUGUAKCGGUGGAAUGCGCAKAUAUCAGGAGGAACACCGAUGGCKAAGGCAGGUCUCUGGGCUGUAACUGACGCUGAGGAGCGAAAGCAUGGGGAGCGAACAGGAUUAGAUACCCUGGUAGUCCAUGCCGUAAACGUUGGKCACUAGGUGUGGKGACCAUUCCACGGUUUCCGCGCCGCAGCUAACGCAUUAAKUGCCCCGCCUGGKGAGUACGGCCGCAGGCUAAAACUCAAGGAAUUGACGGGGGCCCGYACAAKCGGCGGAGCAUGCGUAUUAAUUCGAUGMAAYGCGAASAACCUUUACCMAGGCUUGACAUGUUYUCGAUCGCCGUAGAGAUACGGUUUCCCCUUUGGGGCGGKUUCACAGGUGGUGSCWUGGUUGUCGKUCA